GAGAGUAAUGGCACCUAUCUUUCCUUUUACAAUACUGGAGGUGGUCCACACCCGUCCCAGCAGCCACAGUGGGAGCCUCCAACUGCAGGUGUUUCUAGGCAGCCAUCUUGCCCCCGCCCCGCCUCGAGUGAUCCUGGGACUCCUUGAGAAGACAGCCCUGAAUUGAGCAAAUCCAUCUCCCUCUUCUUAGAUACCUGCCCAUGAGAAACUGCCCUGUCAUUAGUUGUCUCAAGUCCCAGCUUGCCUUCAGAAUACUGUGGAGCCGCCCACAUUGAAAGGAAGUGAAGCAAAAGAAAACUCUUCAGACUUGAAAGUCAAGAGUAAUGCAACAGUAUGAUGAUUCUGGGAUUAUUUUCAUAAGGAACUGGCUGACUGAGCAUCCUGGUUCCAGGCUUCACAUUGUAGCUUCUUUUGUCUGUCAGCUUGUUUGAAAGGGCUGUGGUGAAAUUUUUAAUAGUUGUUUUUAAAAUCUUGUUUAUAAUGACCUUGCAGAAACUGGAAACUUUUCUUUGUACCAGUUUUGUCCUUUUCUAUUUUGCAAAGAGCGCUUUCUGUAUUUCCAAUGGAACUUUUAAAUUUUAAAAAAAUACUAUAUUGACAAUUUUGGUAGGAAUGAAUACCUAG
This 624-nucleotide long non-coding RNA is filed under the name Homo sapiens (human). RNAcentral describes it as "HSALNT0321317". Lineage: Eukaryota; Metazoa; Chordata; Mammalia; Primates; Hominidae. The record is from RNAcentral.